This is a non-coding RNA of Colwellia sp. PAMC 20917, 182 nucleotides long. It matches the Rfam family "6S / SsrS RNA". From Rfam's summary of the family: E. coli 6S RNA was the first non coding RNA to be sequenced, but its function was unknown until recently. It consists of 184 nucleotides that fold into an extended hairpin structure with a large single-stranded internal bulge. The record is from Rfam. Lineage: Bacteria; Pseudomonadati; Pseudomonadota; Gammaproteobacteria; Alteromonadales; Colwelliaceae.
CGUCUUCUGGGGUGUUUGUAUGUUAACUAUGUCCCUGAGCCGAUAAGUUUUAACUAAGGAAGUUGAUUAUUAACUAUUGUGCAAGCCCGGCUCGUAUCGGGAAGCCUACGGUUGAAAUGAUACCUCCGCCCUGAACACCCGGUGUUCAGGACUAAAGUCGACUGCGGCACCUUGGAAGCAUC